Tyto alba (common barn owl) is the source of this 604-nucleotide long non-coding RNA. RefSeq lists it as uncharacterized. Lineage: Eukaryota; Metazoa; Chordata; Aves; Strigiformes; Tytonidae. The record is from RefSeq and is a predicted model, not a curated record. The transcript has 3 exons.
AGGGUGAGGAAGAAAGAAGACAACGGCACUGGACCUGAGAGUCAAGGGUGAGGAAGAAAGAAGGGGACGGCGCUGGACCUGCGAGUCAAGAGGGAGGAAGAAAGAAGAGGACGGUGCCGGACGUGCAAGUCAAGAGGGAGGAAGAAAGAAUUGCACGGCCCUGGACCUGUGAGUGAAGAGUUAGCUUCAGCUAGCAAGCCUGAUAUACCUGAGCGAGGGGACGACAGCACAGAGGCUUCUGCCAGUAACACUGAGCACCUGACUGGUUAGAGGAGCAAGUGGACAAGCAGAUCCUGGGGCACAGCACAGGGAGAGCACCGAUUCCCCAAGAAAAUGCCAUUGUGCACCAUAGGGGGUACACUCUGCAACUUUCAAGCCCGCUUGUGCCUUAGCUCACACCUACGACAUUGCGCUGCAGAUGCGAUUUUAACUUGGCACUAGUUGUUGUAGUGUUUGGCUUUGGUGAGGCCAGUGUGUGUUGGUCGUCAGGUAGCGUAGGGUGGGCUCUUAAGGAGAGAGCGAGGUUUUUCAUGCAGGAGCUGUCUGACGCUGGAGUGUUGUUGUGGAAGUGUUCACGUUGGCGUUGUCUGAUGUUGGAGCAUUC